GUUCUAAAAUUAUAGACUAAACUUAAUUAAAGUCUAAAACAAAACCAAACAACCCCCCGAAAACUACGGGUUA
RNAcentral lists this ribosomal RNA (73 nucleotides) under Uta squamata. RNAcentral's name for it is "partial 16S ribosomal RNA". The record is from RNAcentral. Lineage: Eukaryota; Metazoa; Chordata; Lepidosauria; Squamata; Phrynosomatidae.